GAGGUCCCGCCUGCCCAGUGAUUAAAUUUAACGGCCGCGGUAUCCUAACCGUGCGAAGGUAGCGUAAUCACUUGUUCUUUAAAUGAGGACUAGUAUGAACGGCAUCACGAAGGUUACACUGUCUCCUUUUUCUAAUCAGUGAAACUAAUUUCCCCGUGAAGAAGCGGGGAUACUUUAAUAAGACGAGAAGACCCUAUGGAACUUUAAACAAAGUAACAAGUACUAUCAUUUAUUAAUAAAUUUCCGAAUCAAACAUGACCUAGUAUUAUGAUUACUAGUUUUAGGUUGGGGUGACCGCGGAGAAAAACAUAACCUCCACAUUGAAAGAAAAACUCUAAGCCCAAAGCUACAACUUAAAGCAUCAACAUAUUGACAUUAAUUGACCCAAUUAAAUUGAGCAACGAACCAAGCUACCCUAGGGAUAACAGCGCAAUCCACUUUAAGAGCCCCUAUCGACAAGUGGGUUUACGACCUCGAUGUUGGAUCAGGGUUUCCCAGUGGUGCAGCCGCUACUAAAGGUUCGUUUGUUCAACGAUUAAUACCCU
RNAcentral lists this ribosomal RNA (545 nucleotides) under Atelopus spurrelli. RNAcentral describes it as "partial 16S ribosomal RNA". It matches the Rfam family "Bacterial large subunit ribosomal RNA", at positions 1849 to 2597 of the family's 2925-position model. The record is from RNAcentral. Lineage: Eukaryota; Metazoa; Chordata; Amphibia; Anura; Bufonidae.